This 243-nucleotide ribosomal RNA is filed under the name uncultured bacterium. RNAcentral describes it as "partial 16S ribosomal RNA". It matches the Rfam family "Bacterial small subunit ribosomal RNA", at positions 15 to 236 of the family's 1533-position model. The record is from RNAcentral.
GAUCCUGGCUCAGGAUGAACGCUGGCGGCGUGCCUAACACAUGCAAGUCGAACGAAGCUCCUGCGACAGAAUCCUUCGGGAGGAAGAUGCUUGAGACUGAGUGGCGGACGGGUGAGUAACGCGUGGGUAACCUGCCCUAGAGUGGGGGACAACAGUUGGAAACGACUGCUAAUACCGCAUAAGCCCACGGUACCGCAUGGUACUGAGGGAAAAGGAUUUAUUCGCUUUAGGAUGGACUCGCGU